Molecule: ribosomal RNA, 497 nt
Filed under: uncultured bacterium
Lineage: Bacteria
Description: partial 16S ribosomal RNA
Rfam family: Bacterial small subunit ribosomal RNA
Source: RNAcentral
GAUGAACGCUGGCGGCGUGCCUAAUACAUGCAAGUCGAGCGAACAGACGAGGAGCUUGCUCCUCUGACGUUAGCGGCGGACGGGUGAGUAACACGUGGAUAACCUACCUAUAAGACUGGGAUAACUUCGGGAAACCGGAGCUAAUACCGGAUAAUAUAUUGAACCGCAUGGUUCAAUAGUGAAAGACGGUUUUGCUGUCACUUAUUGAUGGAUCCGCGCCGCAUUAGCUAGUUGGUAAGGUAACGGCUUACCAAGGCAACGAUGCGUAGCCGACCUGAGAGGGUGAUCGGCCACACUGGAACUUAGACACGGUCCAGACUCCUACGGGAGGCAGCAGUAGGGAAUCUUCCGCAAUGGGCGAAAGCCUGACGGAGCAACGCCGCGUGAGUGAUGAAGGUCUUCGGAUCGUAAAACUCUGUUAUUAGGGAAGAACAAAUGUGUAAGUAACUAUGCACGUCUUGACGGUACCUAAUCAGAAAGCCACGGCUAACUACGUG